CUCACACAAAAAUGCUAAAAAGGAGGUUCAAAAAUCAUUAAGCCAUCAUCACAUGCAUCAUUAACAAGCUUCAUAUUUUGCAUGCAAUGGCAUUAACACGACCUCCACCUAGGCCGAAUCUUAACUCAUCCUCAUGCCUCAUCACCACAACAUCAAACAUCAACCAAGAAUGAUGCAUCCAUGGUCAAAUGCCAUUUCCAUCAC
Molecule: long non-coding RNA, 204 nt
Filed under: Gossypium barbadense (sea-island cotton)
Lineage: Eukaryota; Viridiplantae; Streptophyta; Magnoliopsida; Malvales; Malvaceae
Description: long non-coding RNA (GBAR_LNC005395)
Source: RNAcentral